Molecule: long non-coding RNA, 3293 nt
Filed under: Medicago truncatula (barrel medic)
Lineage: Eukaryota; Viridiplantae; Streptophyta; Magnoliopsida; Fabales; Fabaceae
Description: lncRNA gene31560
Source: RNAcentral
UCAAGAUAUAUUUUUUUUGCAUAAAUUAGAAACAAUAAUCUCUUAUAUUUAUAUAUAUAUAUAUAUAUAAUACAUGGAUACAUACAAAAAAUUACAUAUGAGUCGAUGGCUCGAGCAACAAGUUGCACCGCUAAACCUUUUUAGAUGGCAAAAUUAGUUCUCAUAAACAACUCAUUCAUGGACCUAGAAGACAUAAUGUUGUUAUACGUGACCAUUUGAACUAUAUGUAGAAGGUCAACAACCUCUGGUGCUAGAAAGACAAAUGUGCAACGCAAAUAGUAUAAAAGCGUUGAUUGUCACAACACGUUUCCUCAAGAAUAGAUCCUAUUGCUACCAUAGCCAGAGGAUUUGUUUCUUGUUGAGGUGGGGAGUCAGGAAUUUUUGUGAUGAUAUGAGGUGGGGGAAAUGUAGUGUUGUUGUCUAUAGGCAUAUUCUCCUUUAGCUUUAUCAUAACCCUUGGUUGCUUUGGAAAACGCAACUUAUGUCUGUCUCUUAUUUAUGAUUUCCCCAUAUUUUGUUUCAGAAUCUGAUGAAGAUAGGUCUGAAAGAUCCGCUAUUAUGGAAGGCUUCUUUCCUUUAGGUUCAACUUUCUUUACUGCUUUUGCAAGUAUAGGUGAGGGUGAUUUAUGUCUAGGCGGAGAAGGAAUUUGUGAAUUGAUGAUUUAAAGGUGUAGGAUCUUUUUGUUGGUUCAUAUUAUGUUAAAGGCUUGGUUUAAAGUUGAGUUUGUUUUGAUGGUGAGUAUGUCAAAUGCUGAGGGAUUUCAACUUUAGUUUCAGUGUUAGACUGUAGUUUAGAUGGUGCGGGUUGUAGUUCAGUUUUUUAUUCAUUUUGGUUAGAGGGAGUGGGGGUAAUGGAUUGUGUGAGAGUGGAUGUUCGGGUCUUGGGUUGGUGAAGUUUGGUUGUGGAUUUUUACAUGAAAUAUGGCCUUAUUUGUUUGGUAAUUGACCUUCUUGGAAGAGUUGCACCUAUUUGUCUUGGUUUCUUGAUCUUAGUGGAAAGUUUUCCGUUUAAGUUGGCCUAUGCAACCCUACUAAGAGUUGGUGAGGUUCCUGAUAGUCUAAGGCUGAGGUGGUUGCAACCUUAGCCAAUGUAUGAAGGUUGUGGGUGCCUUUGAAAACGGGUGCCUUUAAUUUCUUGGCAACUCUUUCAGGAUUGUGUGCUUCCGUGGCAAAACCUUCUUAGGUGUUGGGUUGUUCUGCCUUUGGGAGUGAGAGAUGUGUUUUUUGUGGGGUGUCAUUCGGAGAGAAUAUGUGAGAGUUAGUGCUCCCUCGUGGUAUGGUUUUGCUUUUUGCGUAUUUUAAGGGUUUGUGCGUAGGUAAGAGAGUGUGGUUAGGGUUGGUUUAUGUUUGGUAUGUUGUUGUGUGGUCCGUCUAAUUCUCUCGUAAUGACCUUAUCUUUUUUGGAGACUCGACUUCGGCUAAGCAUUUGGUGGACAUGGUGAAUUUUUAGCCUGAAAGUGGUUCCUUGCAAACUACCUUACUAGCCUAUUCUAAAUAUAUGAGUGGAAGGUACAACCUGUCAUGUGUUGGACGCGAUAGGGUCUUGUGGUAGUGUUGGUUCUUCUGUUGUUUAAUGGUGGGUAUGGGGUUGCUGUCCAUCUUGGGUUGUCGAAACCUACAUGCGUUACUUUUUAUCUCUUUCUUGUAGGAUAGAGUUGUAGCUUUUCAGUGGAGUGCAUGUGUUCCUUAGGGUGGUUUGUCGUUUUAAUUUUGAUUGUUGAAGUGUCAUGUUUCUCUUAUGUGUCGUGUAUUUCGGUGCUGGGUGUUCAUCUAUUUAGUUUGAUCUUGAGCUUUAUAAAGUUAAUUUUUAAGGUGGAUUAUAUUUAAUGAGUUAGAUUUUUGUCAUGCAUUUUUGGGACAAAAGAAUGAAGAAAAAAUUGAAAUGUGAAGUUUUUAUGAUGUUGUAGAAUUUUGAGAGAUUGAAAAAAAAACUAGUAAAUUGUUAGAAAACGAAUCCAUCAAGUCUUUUUUACAACCUUUUGGAGGUGGGAAAGUUGUUUGAUUAUGCUUGAAUUGUUUCCGUUUUUAUAAAUUUGAAAAAACAUCGUAUAAUUGAAAAAGGUUACUGUAAAUUCAUCAUAGAAAAGUUUAUAAUGAAAUAUGGAAUUUUGAGAAAAAACUUUGAAGUAGAUUGAUUUAAUAUACAUUAUCAAACCCAAGGUCCUGAUUUAAUAUAUAUUUUGAGAAAAUUAUUUGAACUUGGUACUUUUUAAAACAAAUGAAGAUUUCUUAAAAUGUUAAAUUAUUUUGAAAAAAGAAUUUGAGAAUUCUUGAUUUUCUUAAGAGUUUUAGUAUAGGGUUUCUAAUUUUUAAUUUGAGAACUUUUGGCAAAGUUGUGUUAGGAGAGUGAAAAACCCUAGGGCCAGAGUAUUUUGGCAAAGCUGGCAAAGUUGAUUUUCUAAUUUUUCAUUUCAGGUUGGUUUAGAAGCUUUUUUUUAUAUAUAUAAGUUGAUUGCUUGACUUAAGGUACGAGAAAACUUUGAAGGAGUUACAAAUUCUUGUAAGUGGAGGGCUAACGAGGUCCAAGCAGCAGCUUCCACCUGAAUUCUAUGUGAUAGCUCAUUGACUGCAGCUGCAAUUUCAUCCACUGUGUUUAGUCGACUCCCUUCUUCUACCUAUUAUUAAUUCCAAUAUAUAAAUUAUCACCCUGGUUGACCUUGUUCUCACUAAGAGUGCAGAUGGUGAAGCCUAUUCUCUGUUCGAACCUUGCAGUGCGUAUGGAAGAAAAAGAAUACAAAAUUGGAAUGAUAUAACUGAUCAUCAAUUCUUUGUGCUCAAUGAGUGGAAAGCAACAUGGAAAGUACGCCAGCCAACAACCACUAAAUCACCUAGUACAGGAAAUGUGAAAUGGUUGAAACCAAAUGCAGGCAGGUUCAAAUGUAACAUUGAUGUGUCCUUCUCAACGCAAUAUAAUGAAGUUUAGAGAUGUAUGUACUCGCAAAAAUUGGAUAUGUGUAAAAGAGAUGAUACAAGUGCAUCUCUACGGGCAAAAAUCGAAUGGUUUAGUCCAAUCUGCAAUGUUCAUAUGGGUGAAGCAUUAGGAUGCCUUUUGGUGUUGAAUUGGGUUCAUGAACUAAACUUGAAAACCGUUGAUUUUAAGCUUGAUUCAAAGAGUGUGUCGGAUAAAUUUCCCUCAAACAAGAUGUAACAAAAUUUGGGGCUAAUAAUUUGCAUAUAGCUUUAUUUAAUCAAUAUUAUGUAAACUUCAAUGUUGAGUUUCUGCCAUACAAACAAAUGAAGUUGUCUAUAAUUGCAUAUAGCUUUAUUUCAUCAUUGAACCAUUUUUUUAGGCU